RNAcentral lists this ribosomal RNA (309 nucleotides) under Vibrio parahaemolyticus. RNAcentral describes it as "bacterial SSU rRNA". It matches the Rfam family "Bacterial small subunit ribosomal RNA", at positions 756 to 1064 of the family's 1533-position model. Lineage: Bacteria; Pseudomonadati; Pseudomonadota; Gammaproteobacteria; Vibrionales; Vibrionaceae. The record is from RNAcentral.
AAAGCGUGGGGAGCAAACAGGAUUAGAUACCCUGGUAGUCCACGCCGUAAACGAUGUCUACUUGGAGGUUGUGGCCUUGAGCCGUGGCUUUCGGAGCUAACGCGUUAAGUAGACCGCCUGGGGAGUACGGUCGCAAGAUUAAAACUCAAAUGAAUUGACGGGGGCCCGCACAAGCGGUGGAGCAUGUGGUUUAAUUCGAUGCAACGCGAAGAACCUUACCUACUCUUGACAUCCAGAGAACUUUCCAGAGAUGGAUUGGUGCCUUCGGGAACUCUGAGACAGGUGCUGCAUGGCUGUCGUCAGCUCGUG